AUAAAAAUAAAUGCGGAAAAUAAAAAAUCACACCGAGAUUUACGUGGGAAAACUCCAAUUUGAAGAAAAACCCACGAGACCAACACGCAAAAAAAUAAUCCACUAAGAGAAAAGAUUACAAGGUGAUUACCGACUCCACUGACUCAACAUCUCUUAACCUCCUAUGGACCUCGCGCAAUCCUUCGGGUUGUCCACUCCCUCACGUUCGAAUCCACGAACGCCUCCACUCCGAAUCCACGAAGCUUCAAUCACGCCGAAUCCACAACGCCACUCGAAUCCACGAGCCCACGAUCCGAAUCCACGAACCGCCGUCAAACACGCCGAAUCCACGACGCCACCAUGAAGAAUAUCAUGAAUAUGGUGAUCCUUC
This 370-nucleotide long non-coding RNA is filed under the name Ananas comosus (pineapple). Its description in RNAcentral is "long non-coding RNA (ACOM_LNC021289)". Lineage: Eukaryota; Viridiplantae; Streptophyta; Magnoliopsida; Poales; Bromeliaceae. The record is from RNAcentral.